UACGUAGGGUGCGAGCGUUGUUCGGAAUUACUGGGCGUAAAGGGCUCGUAGGUGGCCAACUAAGUCAGACGUGAAAUCCCCAGGCUUAACCUGGGAACUGCGUCUGAUACUGGAUGGCUUGAAUUCGGGAGAGGGAUGCAGAAUUCCAGGUGUAGCGGUGAAAUGCGUAGAUAUCUGGAGGAAUACCGGUGGCGUAGGCGGCAUCCUGGACCGAGAUUGACACUGAUGAGCGAAAGCUAGGGGAGCAAACGGG
Molecule: ribosomal RNA, 253 nt
Filed under: uncultured bacterium
Lineage: Bacteria
Description: partial 16S ribosomal RNA
Rfam family: Bacterial small subunit ribosomal RNA
Source: RNAcentral